UGCAGUCGAGCGAGAACCUGUCCUUCGGGACAGGGGACAGCGGCGAACGGGUGAGUAACACGUGGGUAAUCAACCCCUGGCUCCGGGAUAGCCCGAGGAAACUCGGAUUAAUACCGGAUGGCCCAACUGCGUCCUUCGGGGCGGUUGGAAAAGGUAGCUUCGGCCUCCGGCCAGGGACGAGCCCGCGGCGGAUUAGCUUGUUGGUGGGGUAAUGGCCUACCAAGGCGACGAUCCGUAGCUGGUCUGAGAGGACGAUCAGCCACACUGGGACUGAGACACGGCCCAGACUCCUACGGGAGGCAGCAGUGGGGAAUCUUGCACAAUGGGCGGAAGCCUGAUGCAGCGACGCCGCGUGAGGGAAGAAGGCUUUCGGGUUGUAAACCUCUUUCAGGAGGGACGAAGCUCCUCGGGUUAAUAGCCCAGAGGGUGACGGUACCUCCAGAAGAAGCCCCGGCUAACUACGUGCCAGCAGCCGCGGUAAUACGUAGGGGGCAAGCGUUGUCCGGAUUUAUUGGGCGUAAAGAGCGUGUAGGCGGCCAGAUAGGUCCGUUGUGAAAACUCGAGGCUCAACCUCGAGACGCCGAUGGAAACCAUUUGGCUAGAGUCCGGAAGAGGAGAGUGGAAUUCCUGGUGUAGCGGUGAAAUGCGCAGAUAUCAGGAAGAACACCCGUGGCUAAGGCGGCUCUCUAGUACGGUACUGACGCUGAGACGCGAAAGCGUGGGGAGCGAACAGGAUUAGAUACCCUGGUAGUCCACGCCGUAAACGAUGGGUGCUAGGGGUGGGGGGUGUCGACUCCCUCC
RNAcentral lists this ribosomal RNA (801 nucleotides) under uncultured microorganism. RNAcentral describes it as "bacterial SSU rRNA". It matches the Rfam family "Bacterial small subunit ribosomal RNA", at positions 56 to 842 of the family's 1533-position model. The record is from RNAcentral.